Molecule: non-coding RNA, 45 nt
Filed under: Schistosoma margrebowiei
Lineage: Eukaryota; Metazoa; Platyhelminthes; Trematoda; Strigeidida; Schistosomatidae
Source: RNAcentral
AUACAUCUGAUGAGUGCCGAACAGGACGAAACGCGAGUCCUGGAU